UACGUAGGGUGCAAGCGUUAAUCGGAAUUACUGGGCGUAAAGCGUGCGCAGGCGGUUAUAUAAGACUGUUGUGAAAUCCCCGGGCUCAACCUGGGAACUGCAUCUGUGACUGUAUAGCUAGAGUACGGUAGAGGGGGAUGGAAUUCCGCGUGUAGCAGUGAAAUGCGUAGAUAUGCGGAGGAACACCGAUGGCGAAGGCAAUCCCCUGGACCUGUACUGACGCUCAUGCACGAAAGCGUGGGGAGCAAACAGG
This 253-nucleotide ribosomal RNA is filed under the name uncultured bacterium. RNAcentral's name for it is "partial 16S ribosomal RNA". It matches the Rfam family "Bacterial small subunit ribosomal RNA", at positions 524 to 776 of the family's 1533-position model. The record is from RNAcentral.